This 485-nucleotide ribosomal RNA is filed under the name uncultured bacterium. RNAcentral describes it as "bacterial SSU rRNA". It matches the Rfam family "Bacterial small subunit ribosomal RNA", at positions 30 to 507 of the family's 1533-position model. The record is from RNAcentral.
AUUGGACGCUGGCGGCAUGCCUUACACAUGCAAGUCGAACGGCAGCACGGGGGCAACCCUGGUGGCGAGUGGCGAACGGGUGAGUAAUACAUCGGAAUGUACCCAGUAGUGGGGGAUAACUAGUCGAAAGAUUAGCUAAUACCGCAUACGCACUAUGGUGGAAAGCGGGGGAUCGCAAGACCUCGCGCUAUUGGAGCAGCCGAUGUCCGAUUAGGUAGUUGGUGGGGUAAAGGCCUACCAAGCCUGCGAUCGGUAACUGGUCUGAGAGGACGACCAGUCACACUGGGACUGAGACACGGCCCAGACUCCUACGGGAGGCAGCAGUGGGGAAUUUUGGACAAUGGGGGAAACCCUGAUCCAGCAAUGCCGCGUGUGUGACGAAGGCCUUCGGGUUGUAAAGCACUUUUGGCGGGAACGAAACGGCGCUUUCUAAUACAGAGCGCUAAUGACGGUACCCGCAGAAUAAGCACCGGCUAACCUACGUG